Molecule: ribosomal RNA, 699 nt
Filed under: Streptomyces sp. L1746
Lineage: Bacteria; Bacillati; Actinomycetota; Actinomycetes; Kitasatosporales; Streptomycetaceae
Description: bacterial SSU rRNA
Rfam family: Bacterial small subunit ribosomal RNA
Source: RNAcentral
GGACGAACGCUGGCGGCGUGCUUAACACAUGCAAGUCGAACGAUGAAGCCUUUCGGGGUGGAUUAGUGGCGAACGGGUGAGUAACACGUGGGCAAUCUGCCCUGCACUCUGGGACAAGCCCUGGAAACGGGGUCUAAUACCGGAUAAUACUUUUCUCUGCAUGGGGAAAGGUUAAAAGCUCCGGCGGUGCAGGAUGAGCCCGCGGCCUAUCAGCUUGUUGGUGGGGUAAUGGCCUACCAAGGCGACGACGGGUAGCCGGCCUGAGAGGGCGACCGGCCACACUGGGACUGAGACACGGCCCAGACUCCUACGGGAGGCAGCAGUGGGGAAUAUUGCACAAUGGGCGAAAGCCUGAUGCAGCGACGCCGCGUGAGGGAUGACGGCCUUCGGGUUGUAAACCUCUUUCAGCAGGGAAGAAGCGAAAGUGACGGUACCUGCAGAAGAAGCGCCGGCUAACUACGUGCCAGCAGCCGCGGUAAUACGUAGGGCGCAAGCGUUGUCCGGAAUUAUUGGGCGUAAAGAGCUCGUAGGCGGUUUGUCACGUCGGAUGUGAAAGCCCGGGGCUUAACCCCGGGUCUGCAUUCGAUACGGGCAGACUAGAGUGUGGUAGGGGAGAUCGGAAUUCCUGGUGUAGCGGUGAAAUGCGCAGAUAUCAGGAGGAACACCGGUGGCGAAGGCGGAUCUCUGGGCCAUACUGAC